GGCGUGGUGGCCGAGUGGUUUAAGGCAGCGGUCUUGAAAACCGCCAACGGGGCAACUCGUUCGUGAGUUCGAAUCUCACCCACGCCG
Molecule: transfer RNA, 87 nt
Filed under: Gemmatimonadota bacterium
Lineage: Bacteria; Pseudomonadati; Gemmatimonadota
Also listed under: 1 other name
Description: tRNA-Ser
Rfam family: tRNA
About the family: Transfer RNA (tRNA) molecules are approximately 80 nucleotides in length. Their secondary structure includes four short double-helical elements and three loops (D, anti-codon, and T loops).
Source: RNAcentral